This 69-nucleotide non-coding RNA is filed under the name Streptomyces sp. NRRL S-495. Lineage: Bacteria; Bacillati; Actinomycetota; Actinomycetes; Kitasatosporales; Streptomycetaceae. The record is from RNAcentral.
CUUGAGGGACCCGACCAGCAGCGGUCGUUCGGCGGGCCGGUCCUGACCGUACGUGGCCAGGGGCCCGCC